CUUAUGUACGUUUCUGUUACUCUCUCUCUCUCUCUCAAUCUUUCAAUCAUCGUUCCUUUCCUCAUUCAAAACCCUAAUCACCGAAUCGGCUACUCAGGAGUUCAAUCGACCCUGUGCAACAACGUUUAAUCAAUCUUCAAUACUCAAUAGUGAACAUCGACGAAGUUGAAUGAAGGUGUGCUUGGGUGACGGCUGGAUCUGGAUGUUAUUUAGGGUUUGCUUGAAGUUUGCAGGGAAGCAACGGACUGGAACAAUCAAACAAGAAGGCAAAAAUUUGCAAGACAAAGAUGAUGUGCUGAUGUUAGUGAUGUUAAGAAGAAAAAGUCAAAUGAGAAAGAAAAAGUCAAUCGAGUGAAGAAGAUAAUGGAUGGAAAGUUUUGGUUAACAAAGCUCAAAGUUCACAAAAAGGUUUAAAUCCAUCAAGCUCUAAAGGUGCUAAAGGUAUGCAACGAUUGAGGCGUAGUCAUACCACGUGCUCUAAUAUAUGGCUAAUUUCAUUAGAAACUACUUUUUUCUGAUUUUUGUUUUUGGUAGCCAGCUUUUUAGUACAGAAUAACACAAGGGUUAAGAUAACCUGUUUUGGCUAAUUCUUAGAUCAACUUCAUAUCAAAAGGUGAUUUGGAUUAUGAUUAUAUUGUCUUUCCAUAUCUUGAACUGGGUUAUUGUGGAUCUAGAGUCAAGCUCUUUUUGUCUCUC
This is a long non-coding RNA of Helianthus annuus (common sunflower), 696 nucleotides long. RefSeq lists it as uncharacterized. The transcript has 5 exons. Lineage: Eukaryota; Viridiplantae; Streptophyta; Magnoliopsida; Asterales; Asteraceae. The record is from RefSeq and is a predicted model, not a curated record.